This 592-nucleotide long non-coding RNA is filed under the name Olea europaea subsp. europaea. Lineage: Eukaryota; Viridiplantae; Streptophyta; Magnoliopsida; Lamiales; Oleaceae. The record is from RNAcentral.
AGCAUCAAUUUCUCCCAAAGAAGAACUCUCGCUACAACUCUCAACUCUACUCUGAAGCUCCUCAAUCUUAAAAUCUGCAUCUUCAUCAACAUUUUCACCCUCCCAACCGAGAGAAUACCACCCACAUUUCUUCUUUAUAGCCUCCACCAAAUCCAUUCUUCCAGCUUUGAGCAACUCUUCCUUUGUCGGAAACAUUGACGGCUUCUCCGAUUUAUCCAUAAACUCCAUUAUUUCCGCCUCCAAUUCUGCGUCUCCAUCACUCUCUUUAUUACGCCAAAAGCACCUAAAACUCUGGUUACUACCUUCAAUUUUCCUCAACCUUUUCACUUCAAGAAAUCGCAUAGAACGGCUAAAAUUUGCAGCUUUUAAGUACCUUCGAAGCCUUCUUUUCUGAUUGUAUACACAAAAUUGAGAAGGUGUCACUAGAUAAUUCAAAUGCAAUAAGGGGUGAUGGGAAUUCGUAACGUGUGCACGAGUUGUGAUGAGCGUAAACAUCGUUCACGAAACGUGAAUUAAAGAGGCAGGCUGCAAAAAAUUGGAGAGAGAGUGAUUAGAGAUGAAGCAACGAACAAUAUCGUAGCGUGCAUUAAUG